This 484-nucleotide ribosomal RNA is filed under the name uncultured bacterium. RNAcentral's name for it is "partial 16S ribosomal RNA". It matches the Rfam family "Bacterial small subunit ribosomal RNA", at positions 30 to 507 of the family's 1533-position model. The record is from RNAcentral.
AUUGAACGCUGGCGGCAGGCCUAACACAUGCAAGUCGAGCGGAUGAAGGGAGCUUGCUCCUGGAUUCAGCGGCGGACGGGUGAGUAAUGCCUAGGAAUCUGCCUGGUAGUGGGGGAUAACGUCCGGAAACGGGCGCUAAUACCGCAUACGUCCUGCGGGAGCAAGUGGGGGAUCUUCGGACCUCACGCUAUCAGAUGAGCCUAGGUCGGAUUAGCUAGUUGGUGGGGUAAAGGCCUACCAAGGCGACGAUCCGUAACUGGUCUGAGAGGAUGAUCAGUCACACUGGAACUGAGACACGGUCCAGACUCCUACGGGAGGCAGCAGUGGGGAAUAUUGGACAAUGGGCGAAAGCCUGAUCCAGCCAUGCCGCGUGUGUGAAGAAGGUCUUCGGAUUGUAAAGCACUUUAAGUUGGGAGAAAGGGCAGUAAGUUAAUACCUUGCUGUUUUGACGUUACCAACAGAAUAAGCACCGGCUAACUUCGUG